AUGAGCUCAGAUGGGGGGACAGUUCUCUGUCGGGGGGGUCCCAGGCCGCGGCUCUCAGGACCCCUGCGGUCAGAGCUUGCGGCCGUGGCCCCGGGCCUGGGGUCGGCGCUGCUGGGUCCUGCGUAUGGAGGUGGCAUCUUGCACGAGUGGGUCCUGGGUGCCCUGGGGGUCCUCGUUUCGCGUUUGCUUAAGGCCUGGGGAGGCCGAGGUAGCCUUGGAGCCCCGCGCGGCCCGAGGCCCCAGCCCCCACGGCCCGAGGCCUGGCGCGGAGGGGGAGCCCCGUCAGGGCUGCGCGGUCCAAGCCACAGGGCGGGGAAGCAGCAGAAGCCAGAGCGCAGCCAAGAAAGUCUCCUUUAUGCUCCGGCCAACCCGAGUCCGCAGACGGGGAAUAACACGGUGGCGCUGCGGCCUGCGGCCCCGAGCUGCAGGCGCGGCCCAGAGACGCCAGCGCCCCGGGCCUCCCGCAGUCAUUGCCCGGGCGUCCGUGCUGUCGCCGAGGCCCCUGCGUGUCCCCACGGCCACGUGGAGGCCGGGACCCCUGACAGGGGCCGCGGGACAGAACGAGGGGAACCCACGGCCCCCCGCACGGCCCUCCGCCCCGCGUGCAGCCCGACGAGGCAGGACGGCAACCGUGGGGGGGCCGGGCCCCCUCUCCCCGAUUCUCCGGACAGCCCUGCCCGGGCCCCAGGAGGGUGGGGCACCGCGGAGGGGAGUCUCACGGGAAAGGAGAGAUUCCGAGUUAAAAUGACCCGGUUCACUAGCCGCACCGUCCGCUUGCGACCGGAGGCAGGAUGGCAGUGUAGACACCGAAGGGCCCGUGCAGUCGGGUCUCUGCGCCCGCCAGCUUCCGCAGCCGAGGUGAUGCCUGAGGUCGUCGGCUCUGAGGAGGCGUCGAGGGCUCAGCCGACGGGCCGGUGCAGCCCCCGCAGCAGCCGACGGGGCACCUGGCCUUGCUCACCCGCAGGCCUCCCUUGUCAGCAGGCUCCCUGCAUCACACGGGGCCCGUCCCGCUCCAGGUGGUGCUCCCGACGUGGGCCCUGA
This 1041-nucleotide long non-coding RNA is filed under the name Vulpes vulpes (red fox). Its description in RNAcentral is "lncRNA (ENSVVUG00000023585.1)". Lineage: Eukaryota; Metazoa; Chordata; Mammalia; Carnivora; Canidae. The record is from RNAcentral.